This 73-nucleotide transfer RNA is filed under the name Camelus dromedarius (Arabian camel). It matches the Rfam family "tRNA". From Rfam's summary of the family: Transfer RNA (tRNA) molecules are approximately 80 nucleotides in length. Their secondary structure includes four short double-helical elements and three loops (D, anti-codon, and T loops). The record is from Rfam by way of RNAcentral. RNAcentral also lists the same sequence under 1 other name. Lineage: Eukaryota; Metazoa; Chordata; Mammalia; Artiodactyla; Camelidae.
GAGGGUAUAGCUCAAGUGGCAGAGCACAUGCUUACCAUGCGUGAGGUCCUGGGUUCAAUCCCCAGUAUCUCCA